Molecule: ribosomal RNA, 253 nt
Filed under: uncultured bacterium
Lineage: Bacteria
Description: partial 16S ribosomal RNA
Rfam family: Bacterial small subunit ribosomal RNA
Source: RNAcentral
UACGGAGGGUGCUAGCGUUACUCGGAUUUACUGGGCGUAAAGCGUGUGUAGGCGGUUCGUUAAGUCGGGUGUGAAAUCCCUGGGCUCAACCCGGGAAUUGCAUUCGAUACUGGCGAGCUAGAGUACGGUAGAGGGCGGCGGAAUUCCGGGUGUAGCGGUGAAAUGCGUAGAUAUCCGGAGGAACACCGAUGGCGAAGGCGGGUCUCUGGGCAACAACUGACGCUGAGGAGCGAAAGCGUGGGGAGCGAACAGG